Molecule: ribosomal RNA, 371 nt
Filed under: Heteranthus verruculatus
Lineage: Eukaryota; Metazoa; Cnidaria; Anthozoa; Actiniaria; Phymanthidae
Description: partial large subunit ribosomal RNA
Rfam family: Bacterial large subunit ribosomal RNA
Source: RNAcentral
GUUACGAAGGCCCCACUGUCUUAAGAGGACUCUCCAUGAAAUUGAAUUCGUAGUGAAGAUGCUACGUCCAUAUUGUAAGACGAAAAGACCCCAUUGAGCUUUACUAAAGACUUGCAUGGCUAAAAAUAAUUUAAUUUAAAUAAAAAGUUUAGAUAAUGUGGGAUCCGUUUCCGGUUAAUAAAACACCACUCUUUUAUUUUAAGAGAGCUAACAUCGCAGGGAUAAUGUAAGUUGGAUAGUUUGGUUGGGGCGACCACCUUUUAAAAGGUAACGAAGGUGAGCUUAAGGUCCGUAGUUAAUAGCCGGUGGCCUGACUGCAAGGGGGACGUCUCGAGCAGACACGUCCUUAGGGAUGUGGGCUAUAGUGACCC